GAUGAACGCUGGCGGCGUGCCUAAUACAUGCAAGUCGAGCGAACAGACGAGGAGCUUGCUCCUCUGACGUUAGCGGCGGACGGGUGAGUAACACGUGGAUAACCUACCUAUAAGACUGGGAUAACUUCGGGAAACCGGAGCUAAUACCGGAUAAUAUAUUGAACCGCAUGGUUCAAUAGUGAAAGACGGUUUUGCUGUCACUUAUAGAUGGAUCCGCGCCGCAUUAGCUAGUUGGUAAGGUAACGGCUUACCAAGGCAACGAUGCGUAGCCGACCUGAGAGGGUGAUCGGCCACACUGGAACUGAGACACGGUCCAGACUCCUACGGGAGGCAGCAGUAGGGAAUCUUCCGCAAUGGGCGAAAGCCUGACGGAGCAACGCCGCGUGAGUGAGGAAGGUCUUCGGAUCGUAAAACUCUGUUAUUAGGGAAGAACAAAUGUGUAAGUAACGAUGCACGUCUUGACGGUACCUAAGCAGAAAGCCACGGCUAACUACGU
This 496-nucleotide ribosomal RNA is filed under the name uncultured bacterium. Its description in RNAcentral is "partial 16S ribosomal RNA". It matches the Rfam family "Bacterial small subunit ribosomal RNA", at positions 28 to 506 of the family's 1533-position model. The record is from RNAcentral.